This 515-nucleotide long non-coding RNA is filed under the name Pongo abelii (Sumatran orangutan). RNAcentral's name for it is "lincRNA". Lineage: Eukaryota; Metazoa; Chordata; Mammalia; Primates; Hominidae. The record is from RNAcentral.
CACUUGAGCAGCGGUCUCCAACCACAGGGCCACAGAGCUGGAGCUGGAUCUACCAUGAACGACUUCUGAAUCCAGGAAGAGAGACUGACUGGGCAACAUGUUAUUCAGAGUCUCCCUCUGUUGUCCAAGGCUGGAGUGUAGUAGUGCUAUCACAGCUGACUGCAGCCUCAACCUUCCAGGCUGAAGCGAUCCUCCCAUCUCAACCUCCCACGUGGCUGAGACUAUAGGUGCUUGCCACUAUGCCCAACUAAUAUUCGGAAUUUUCCUAUACGUGGAUUCCAGAGGGGUGACAGUGAAACUCAGCCUUCCCAGGCCCAGCUCCGUCCUCUUGGCGCCUCUCCAGGGACUCUCCACACCCAGCUAGCUCUCGCCUCACUGCGGCCUCCCCAGUCCAAAGCUCCUGCCUUUCGGCUGCUUCGGCAGGCCCAGUUCCCGCCUGCCAGUGGCCUCUUUAGGCCCAGCUCAUUCCUCACAACGGCCUUUCCAGGCCCCGUUUUUCCCUUCCGGCAGCCUCU